UUAGAACAUAAAAAAUAUCUUCUCCAGAUGAAUAUUAAUUCAUUAUUAUUCUUCUAUUCUACACAAGCUGUAGGAGUCAAACCGUACGCUGACUGUGGAUGUUGCCAACCUUGCCGGUGAGAAAGAGGAGCUCAACAAUAAACCGAAGCACAUACAGCAAAAGCUGGAGAAGAUCAAAGAAGAAGAGAAACAGAUGAAAUCUCUCACAGUGUCGUAUGAGAAGCAGAUACAGGUGGAGAAAACACUCAAGAUUCAGGCUAUAAACAAGUUGGCGGAGGUCAUGAAGAAGACGGACGGCAGGCCACACCAAAUCAACAACACAGACAUCCGCAGGAAGGAGAAGGAGAUCAGACAACUCCAGCUGCAGCUCCGCACGAAAGAAAAGCUUAACCACUCCA
This is a non-coding RNA of Danio rerio (zebrafish), 398 nucleotides long. The record is from RefSeq and is a predicted model, not a curated record. Lineage: Eukaryota; Metazoa; Chordata; Actinopteri; Cypriniformes; Danionidae.